GGUGCUAGUGUCCGGAUGAUGAUUGGGAAUUGCUGAGUGGUGUGCAGUCAUUGGUGGAGAAUUUAAAAAAAAUGAAAGGCAAACCCUUAGAACUCUUCAGUAUCUGCCACAAGUUUAGGCUUUCUAGUUCACUUCAAAAUUGAUAGAAAAAGGGAAGCACAAUGCUGGACGAAUGCAGCCUUUGAGGACCUCUUGACAUGACAUGAAUGUGGAAGAGAAUUAUUUCCGGAGCACUGUGACAUGAAAGAGCAUGCAUUUACAGAGGGCUGCAGAGUGCCUCUGACAGAACAUAGCCGAAGGCGAUGGGAUCUGGAGAAAGAUGCCUCAUAAAUUCCACCCCAUCUCAUGACCCAGCCAGCAGAGGCAACAAUUCUACCGUACACUGGGAAAAUCACUUUGAGGAAUGUGGGCUACUGACAUCAAGACCGAUGGGGCUGCUGUCCAUGAUUGCUUGUAGCACAAAAGUGUCCACCAAGGUGGUUGGAGGUAUUGCUUUCUGGAGAGAGUGUGGAGAUUAUGAGGGACUCUAGAUAUCUUGUGAGGAUCCACAGAAGAAUUUUGUCUUCAAAGGUUUUAUGAACCUGUGUUUUUCUCAGUUGCAGCAGCUCUUCAGAAGAUGCUUUGGCUUCAAACACAGUUUGUAUAAUUUCCCACAAAAUAGAACAUCUCGUUUCUGCAAGGCUCUGCUCAAAGUACAGGCAGGUUCUUUGAUGGAGAAACUUUUUCAGAGGUUUGCUUUAUUGUGAAAACUAUCGACAAGUAUUGGCUACAGAGAAUUUAUUAUAUCUGCCUUUAGUUCAGCUGUGAUCAUUGAAAAGUGGAAAAUUCCAGUGUAACUGCGAGAUGUUCAGAAGCUGUCAAAUCAUUAGGCUUUACAAGAGUGGCAGAUUUUAGCAGACUGUAGAGAUUUCCACUUGCUUCCAUCAUUUCAUGUACAUAAAAUUAGUCAUCCUUUGCUUCCCCUAGUUCUGCCUUACACAAUAGAUACAGAGGAAUCCGCUGGGAUAGCCAUAGAGUUCCAAACCAUUGAACUAUAUUUAUUUAGAUUACAAAAACAAAAGCAGCAAACCUGACUGAUGAACAUCACAGACUGAAGAAACAAUGCCUUUAGAAACAUGCAAAUAGAUUUCCUUUAAUUCUGGAAGGAGGUCUUUGAAAUAAACAGCGUGGUAAAUUAUUUAGCCUCUAUUUU
Molecule: long non-coding RNA, 1192 nt
Filed under: Numida meleagris (helmeted guineafowl)
Lineage: Eukaryota; Metazoa; Chordata; Aves; Galliformes; Numididae
Description: lncRNA (ENSNMEG00000009972.1)
Source: RNAcentral